AGAAGAAGAAAAAAGAGAAAAAGGUUUAGGGUUGUGAAGAGGAGAAGAAGGAGACCCAAAGUGUUGCUCUAAAGUGUCAUUUUCUCCAAUUUUCCAUUGAAUCUUCUUAGAGCUGCACUCAAUCUAAGGUACUCAAGUAUAGCUGUGGAAGUUUGUUGCUUCAUCGAGUCUUGUUGGUGUCUCGCUCUGAUACGUAGCACUCGUGGGGUCGUUUAUAUUGUUGUUUCUAUGUUGUUAAUAUUUUAGUUGUUGUUAUUAUAACCGUUGAAUCCAAGUUGGAUACUAUGAAGUACUUGUUAUACUUCCAAGUUGUUUGAGUUGAAUAAAGCUGAUAGUUGACUGUUAUUCGAAUGCUAUGUAUCAUUGUUGAAUGAAAUACAAGUUGAAGUUUUAUGUUGA
Long non-coding RNA from Vicia villosa (hairy vetch), 399 nucleotides. RefSeq lists it as uncharacterized. The record is from RefSeq and is a predicted model, not a curated record. The transcript is spliced from 2 exons. Lineage: Eukaryota; Viridiplantae; Streptophyta; Magnoliopsida; Fabales; Fabaceae.